RNAcentral lists this RNase P RNA (371 nucleotides) under Bacteroidaceae bacterium. RNAcentral describes it as "RNase P RNA component class A". It matches the Rfam family "Bacterial RNase P class A". Rfam says of the family: Ribonuclease P (RNase P) is a ubiquitous endoribonuclease, found in archaea, bacteria and eukarya as well as chloroplasts and mitochondria. Its best characterised activity is the generation of mature 5'-ends of tRNAs by cleaving the 5'-leader elements of precursor-tRNAs. The record is from RNAcentral. Lineage: Bacteria; Pseudomonadati; Bacteroidota; Bacteroidia; Bacteroidales; Bacteroidaceae.
AAAGCUGACCGGUCUGCCGCUGUCCCCUACGGGGCUGAGGAAAGUCCGGGCGACACAGAGCAUUCCACUUCCUAACGGGAAGCAGUCGGCAACGGCUGAUAAGCGCAGAAGAAAACAACCGCCGCAAGGUAAGGGUGAGAAGGUGGGGUAAGAGCCCACCAGGCCUGUGGUGACACAGGUGCUGUGCGCCUUGGAAGUUGCAAGUUCAUGUAUACCGGCGUCAGAGGGCUGCUCGCCUGAGCCGGAGGGUAGAACGCGCGUGACCAUAAGGUUACGGAGCCAUGCCGGUGACGGCAGGUCAAGAUUAAUGGCAGACAGGGAAAGUACGUGUACCGACCCUACAGAACCCGGCUUACAGGUCAGCUUUUGUU